GGAGAGAUGGCUCAGUGGUUAAGAGCACUGACUGCCCCUCCAGAGGUCCUGAGUUCAAUUCCCAGCAACCACA
This 73-nucleotide transfer RNA is filed under the name Mus musculus (house mouse). Its description in RNAcentral is "tRNA-Gly". Lineage: Eukaryota; Metazoa; Chordata; Mammalia; Rodentia; Muridae. The record is from RNAcentral.